AUAUUUGAGCGCUCCGAAGACAGCAGGUGACGAAAGCCGUAAUUCCUGCCGAGGACAUCAACAAUAUUACUGAUUGUUUGUGUGCUCUCGCGUCUUUUGAUGCGGGGGUUUUCUUU
RNAcentral lists this small RNA (116 nucleotides) under human gut metagenome. Its description in RNAcentral is "Ribosomal protein L10 leader". The stretch from base 14 to 116 matches the Rfam family "Ribosomal protein L10 leader", at positions 19 to 131 of the family's 138-position model. From Rfam's summary of the family: This family is a putative r-protein leader autoregulatory structure found in B. subtilis and other low-GC Gram-positive bacteria. The record is from RNAcentral.